CCUACGGGUGGCAGCAGUGAGGAAUAUUGGUCAAUGGACGCAAGUCUGAACCAGCCAUGCCGCGUGCAUGAAGACGGCCCUAUGAGUUGUAAACUGCUUUUGUACGAGGGUAAACGCAAAUACGUGUAUCUGUCUGAAAGUACCGUACGACUAAGGAUCGGCUAACUUCGUGCCAGCAGCCGCGGUAAUACGGAGGAUUCAAGCGUUAUCCGGAUUUAUUGGGUUUAACGGGUGCGUAGGCGGUCGGAUAAGUUAGAGGUGAAAUCCCGGGGCUCAACUUCGGAAUUGCAUCUGAUACUGGUCGGCUAGAGUGUAGUAGCGGGAGGCAGAAUGUAUGGUGUAGCGGUGAAAUGCUUAGAGAUCAGACAGAACACCGAUUGCGAAGGCAGCUUACCAGGCUACUUCUGACGUUGAGGCACGAAAGCGUGGGGAGCAAACAGGAGUAGAUACCCGUGUAGUC
RNAcentral lists this ribosomal RNA (460 nucleotides) under uncultured bacterium. RNAcentral's name for it is "partial 16S ribosomal RNA". It matches the Rfam family "Bacterial small subunit ribosomal RNA", at positions 338 to 795 of the family's 1533-position model. The record is from RNAcentral.